This 467-nucleotide ribosomal RNA is filed under the name uncultured bacterium. RNAcentral's name for it is "partial 16S ribosomal RNA". It matches the Rfam family "Bacterial small subunit ribosomal RNA", at positions 28 to 506 of the family's 1533-position model. The record is from RNAcentral.
GAUGAACGCUGGCGGCGUGCUUAACACAUGCAAGUCGAACGGAAAGGCCCAAGCUUGCUUGGGUACUCGAGUGGCGAACGGGUGGGUAACACGUGGGUGAUCUGCCCUGCACUUCGGGAUAAGCCUGGGAAACUGGGUCUAAUACCGGAUAGGACGAUGGUUUGGAUGCCAUUGUGGAAAGUUUUUUCGGUGUGGGAUGAGCUCGCGGCCUAUCAGCUUGUUGGUGGGGUAAUGGCCUACCAAGGCGUCGACGGGUAGCCGGCCUGAGAGGGUGUACGGCCCAAUUGGGAAUGGGGAACGGCCCCAGCUCCGACGGGGGGGAGGAGGGGGGAAAAUUGGCAAAAGGGGGCAAGCCUGGUGGCGGGAAGCCGGGGGGGGGGAGACGGGCUUCGGGUUGGAAAACCUUUUCGCCAGGGAAGAAGGGUUUUUGGGCGGGAACCGGGAAAAAAAGCACCGGUUACUAAGGU